UCUUUCGGUUCUUCAAUAUUCUGGGUACAACUUUGUGUAAUUGGGAUUUACGUUUCUAUUUGGCUGAAUUGGCGGCUCAAGGAAUAUGGAUAGGUUUGCUUUGUUAUUAAGGGACGAUGGAAAUGGAUGUGUACCAUUGGUGUGACAUCCGAUUCAUUGUGUUAAUCUCUGAGGAUUUAAGAUUCUAGCAUUCUUGCUCAAUCAAUUUGGAGGCAAAGUACCUGGCUCAAUUCCCGAGAUUAAGAAUUUUGUGUGUACAAGAUUCAAAGCUGAGUACCCCAUUUUUUAGAGUGAUACGUUAGUGAAAUCACCAACUUAGUGAAAUCACCAACUUAGAGAACCAUACUUUCCUAUUUACUAACACCAUGACCGCUACUGCUACUGACUGCAACAACUGGACAUGAAUGGUCCAAAUACAGACAUAGUUUACAGUUCCUCAAGUUCAGUGCUGGGGGGUUUUUGGUGACUUGGUCAACUGGAAUUAUGAGAAGUUUUUGGUGGACAAAAAGGGCAAGGUUGUAGAGUGAUACACACCUACAACAUCUCUCUCGGGAUUAAGGUCUGUGAUGCGGAAAUACAAUCUUGAGCAGGUACAUGUUUUUUUAUUGUUUCAAGAAAUCAAGAAAUCUUGUGCGGAAAUACAAUCUUGAGUAGGUACGUGUCUUUUUAUUGUUUUUCAUCGAAUUUUGAUUUAUAUAUGGUGAUCCUAGUUUAAUGAUGUUACUCAUGUUGCUACAUAGUGGACAUGAUUAAUUGUCAGACAAAUUAACUUAUCUUAAAAGUGCUGUAUGGAAGCCUGAUCUUAGGAGCAACCCCUUAAUUGUUUAAUCAGUUUGAUAAACAGAAAAGCAAUUACAUUUUGCUGGUUGUAAAUAGGCUCGAUGAGAAUGUCUGUUUGAUUUUUAAGAUACUUGGUUGUUGGUACUUCCAAUAGGAUGAUUUUGAGUUAUCAGUCAGAUUCUAGUGUCCGAGUAGGGAGAUUAGUGAUGAGGUUUUCCUCCUAGCACAACCUGAUCUUUUGUUAACUAAGAAAGCUAGAAUUGAUUAAGGAAUGUGUCUUAACACUUAUUUAUCUCGAGGCUGCCUUAAAAUAUGCAUGUAUUCAUUGUUACAGCAGUGCUUACAUUUUAUACAAGAACAUGCUCAUUUUUUCUGAAUGCUCUUCUCUUUUAAGAAUCCUACAUAUAGGUCCUUCCCGCUUAAGUCACUCGAUGAGAGUCUUUGGUUUUGACCACCUUUAGACAUGCUCUUUACAAACUCUACCAAAUGCCUCCAAUUAUCUCCUUCAAACAACCUUUUGUUCAUCCUUAAAUAUAUAUGUAAAAGCACUCAAUUCACUUCGUGAGUGUGACUUGCUGGUUGCUAAAACCUGCCCAAACGCACUUGCAUCAUAUCUCUCCAAAGCAUUUUCUCCAGCAAGUUCGAUCUCUUGUAUUGUAAUAUCCUGCUGUUAGAUACGUGAUGGAAAAACGAGAUCGCUACAGGAAUAUGGCUUUGGUACCGAACAAGCUUACAGUUGCAUCAGGCUUGAGGAUCAGGUCAAAAGAAACUCCAAUUUUGGCAAAUCAGUUAAUGUAAAAGGCUGAUCACAAGUCAUUUACCAUUAUGGAAUUCCUUUUAAUACUGCACUUAC
Long non-coding RNA from Spinacia oleracea (spinach), 1633 nucleotides. RefSeq lists it as uncharacterized. NCBI's taxonomy places the organism in Eukaryota, Viridiplantae, Streptophyta, Magnoliopsida, Caryophyllales, Amaranthaceae. The record is from RefSeq and is a predicted model, not a curated record. The transcript is spliced from 4 exons.